GUUCUCUUUGAGGUCGGGCAUUGGAAUGGACCGAAUGUAAACGAUUCGGUGAGUACCCACGAGAGGGCAAGUCUGGUGCCAGCAGCCGCGGUAAUUCCAGCUCUCGUAAUGUAUAGAAUUAUUGUUGCGGUUAAAAAGUUCGUAGUUGGAUUUCAUACCGCCAGUGGGUCGUGCCUAACGGUGCGUACUCGCGGCGGUGUUUAUGCCGGGGCGGGCUUGCCUGCCCCAGCAUGGAUUACUUUGAACGGCUUAAGUGCUCAAGGCGGGUCUUCGGACUGAAUACCGGUGCAUGGAAUAAUGGAACAAGGUUUCGGCCGAGUUUUAUUGGUUUUGUCGGCUGAGACAAUGGUUAACAGGAACAGCUGGGGGCACUCGUAUCCCGGCGCGAGAGGUGAAAUUCGUGGACCGUCGGGAGACGCCCUAAAGCGAAGGCAUUUGCCAAGAGUGUUUUCAUUAAUCAAGAACGAAAGUCAGAGGUUCGAAGGCGAUUAGAUACCGCCCUAGUUCUGACCGUAAACGAUACCAACUAUCAAUCCGCCAGUAGCUUUUGGUUAUUGGCGGGCGGAUCGACGGAAACGAAAGUUUUUCGGUUCCGGGGGAAGUAUGGUUGCAAAGCUGAAACUUAAAGGAAUUGACGGAAGGGCACCACCAGGAGUGGAGCUUGCGGCUUAAUUUGACCCAACACGGGAAACCUCACCCGGCCAGUACAUCAUAAGGAUUGACAGAUUGAAACUCUUUCAUGAUUUGAUGAAUGGUGGUGCAUGGCCGUUCUUAGUUCGUGGCGUGAGUCGUCUGCUUAAUUGCGAUAACGAGCGAGACUCCGACUGUUAAAUAGCACCCGUUUCUUUUCGAGCGGGCGGCUUCUUAACUGGAUUCGCGGCUUCAAGCCGCAAGAAAUGGAGCAAUAACAGGUCUGUGAUGCCCUUAGAUGUUCGGGGCCGCACGCGUGCUACAAUGAUGGUAACAGCGUGAUUGUCCUCGCCCGACAGGGCUUGGCAAACAGCUGAGAUAUUAUUAUGGCUGGAAUUGAGUGUUGAAAUUUUCUCUCAUGAACGAGGAAUUCCAAGUAAAUGCGAGUCAUCAACUUGCAUUGAUUACGUCCCUGCCCUUUGUACACACCGCCCGUCGCUACCCGGGACUGAGUUGUUUCGAGAAAUCUACGGACCGGCCGCUUCUCGCAAGAGACCCGGCUGGAAAGUGAAUUAAUCGCAACGGCUUGAACCGGGUAAAAGUCGUAA
This 1238-nucleotide ribosomal RNA is filed under the name metagenome. RNAcentral describes it as "SSU rRNA". It matches the Rfam family "Eukaryotic small subunit ribosomal RNA", at positions 488 to 1794 of the family's 1831-position model. The record is from RNAcentral.